GCCUAGUUAGCUUAGUUGGUAGUGCGUCUGCUUGUAAGCGCUAGGCCGCGGGUUCGAUUCCCGCCCGGGGCG
RNAcentral lists this transfer RNA (72 nucleotides) under Diaphorina citri (Asian citrus psyllid). It matches the Rfam family "tRNA". From Rfam's summary of the family: Transfer RNA (tRNA) molecules are approximately 80 nucleotides in length. Lineage: Eukaryota; Metazoa; Arthropoda; Insecta; Hemiptera; Psyllidae. The record is from Rfam by way of RNAcentral.